Molecule: long non-coding RNA, 669 nt
Filed under: Salvia miltiorrhiza (redroot sage)
Lineage: Eukaryota; Viridiplantae; Streptophyta; Magnoliopsida; Lamiales; Lamiaceae
Description: long non-coding RNA (SMIL_LNC002344)
Source: RNAcentral
UUAUAAGCUCCAAUAACUUAUAUGUAAUGUUCCAAGAGUUUAUAAGCUGUCAAAGUAUUUCGAUAAUUGAGAUUCUAAGCUAGAGGAAGAACUGUGAGCAACGAGAGAAAAUCAUGGUUAGAGAUAGAAAAAUGAAAAGAUAUGAAAUUGUAAUGAUAUAACAAAUAAUAGUAAAUUAAUUUUGUAAAAAGAUUGUUGCUUAUAUGAUUUUAAAAAAAAUAAACUGGGAUAAUCUAUAUGAACUUAUUUUUUGAGGAGCUUCUAAGUUGUUUAAUAGUUUAUUUUGCCAAAUAUUUCUCAAGUGCUUAUAAAUAGUUUUAAGGAAGUUAUAAGCUCAGCCAAACACCCUCUUAAAACUCGAAUAAAAAAUUAUUUACGAUCAAUUGAAGCUGAUGUGUAUCACCAGAAGCUUAUUUGCCAACAUUGCCAUUUUUUACACAUUCAAUCAUUCGAUGCUAAAUCGGCACCUGACAAUAAAAGUGAGCUUCAGUUGUCCGAAAAAUUUGAUGACUUGAGCUAUUAAGUGAACAAUAAAGAUUAAUAUAGGCUAUAUUUGUAAUAUUUUUAAAUUCAAAUUAAAAAGUCACAAUGAAGUUAAAGUUCCAACUAUAUAUAGUUUAAAAUAACCAUAGCCUCUGCAAAUUCUCACUACAAGAAAAACUCUAAUAG